This is a long non-coding RNA of Cucurbita moschata (crookneck pumpkin), 708 nucleotides long. RefSeq lists it as uncharacterized. NCBI's taxonomy places the organism in Eukaryota, Viridiplantae, Streptophyta, Magnoliopsida, Cucurbitales, Cucurbitaceae. The record is from RefSeq and is a predicted model, not a curated record. The transcript has 2 exons.
CAAAUGAAUCGAAUGUCUGAGAAUCCCCUGUUUCUUUGUUCCCUGUUCCACCGCAACACAUUCAUAAAGAUCAAACGGAAAAGAAAGACAUACAUGGUGCCCCUUGAAGUUCAGGAUCCACCACAGCUCCUCCACCUUCUUCAUCUUCGUGAUCCUCGGGCUCAUGGUGAUCGUGGCCAUGUCCAUGCUUAGUGAUCGUGGCCAUGUCCAUGCUUAGUGAUCGUGUCCUUAAUCUUCUUAGCCUUUGCCUUAACUUUCUUCAACACUGACUUCUUCUCAUGAUGCUGCCCAUCUUCUUCCCCUUCCACACCUACAAAGUUACACAUUCCUAACAUUAUAUCUCUACAAAUAAGCAAAGAUUUAGGGAAAACGGCUGUUUACUUCGGUGAAGUGCGACGUUGUGAGGGUCAUGGUGGUGGUGGGCGUGGUGGCGAUGAGGCGCCGUUUGCUGGGACUCCAUGAUGACAGCCGAUGAUACUCCUGACAGAGAGAAUCGUAGAAGAUGGGUAUGAGACAAAGGAUUUAAUAGAAAAUAGAGGGGCUGGCCAGCUUCGCAUGGGUGUGUGGCAGUUCAAGAAGAAGACACGAAGUGGCUGAGGGUGAUAAACACGUAUAUAGGUAUAAGGAUCCUUGUCGGACCUAUUACCAUCCUCGAGUGAACCCACGUUAUUAUCAAAAUAUGCCUAUAAGAUAACUAAUCAACGUCUA